GUGAUUCCAGUUUCCCAGUUUGGUGUUGAGCUGAAGAGAAGAUAGAAGCUUGUGCAAAGAUAGGGCAAGCUUCAGGAGAUGUUCAGAAGAGUUCAACCAAGCUUCAGAAGUACCCUGAAGUGUAUAUCUUGUGAAGUUAAGUCCAAGAAGGGCUUAGACUGAUCUGUAGAAGACAUUAGAGGAGUUUGGGAGGAAAUGGUCGAUGGUGCAAAGUUAGGGUCGGCUGUACGGACGGCCGUACGGACUGUACGGACCGGUACGGAUGAGAUCGACCCGAAACAUCUUUUCUCAACCAUCUGAAGACAAUUGGUGCUUGUGCAAAAAUAGGGCACAAGGGUACGGUCUGAGAAGUAUGUGCAAGGUCCGGGUUGAGUAAUGGUAUCAAAAGAGCAUCAAGAAGAUGCUGUGUGCAAUGGGAAUCUAAGGGAGCUGGCACACGGUUCUGAUUGGCUUAUGAUAGUCCAAGACAGGCUGGAUGUUGCUGGAAAGAAAGAGACAAAGGCUGGCUAUGUAUCUGGACAAAGAUAUGGACAGAUACAUAAGGCAGUGUGGAGUAUUUCUAGCCAAGCAUUCCCACAUCCAAUCAGGAGCAUACAACCAGCUACAAACACCCCAAGACCUGAUCCAGAACGUCCAUUUCAAACCAGGCUACCUCCACUGUCCAUUUCUUAUCCUUAACUUAGGGUUUUAUGAGUUUGCAACCUGUUUUCUAUUUAAAGACCCUUUAUGGGCGAAUUGUAAACUCUCUAAGAGAGUAAGGGGGAUUUCCCCUUCUCCUUCAUAGUCUUUGGUUACUUUGAAUCUCCCAAUCUUCAUUCUCUUGAUUACUCUAUUCUGGUUACUUAAUCUCAUACUCUCAGUCUCCUACUCUCACUCAAUCUCCCAUAAUCACUCUUAUUCUUCCAUUCACUAAAUCUCACUUUCAUUAGUCUCUCUUCACCAUUUCAAGUUCUCUCUAGCCCUUGUGGGUUUGUUCAACACUCAUACAGCCUGAGACUCUGUAAAUCUCAUAUGGUAUCAGAGCCAGGUUCAUCUGAACCUGGUAGAAGCUUCUGCAUAUCCGUUACAAGCUCACCCUCAUCUCAAAUCCAAGCCUUUGAAGAUCUGUCAAAACCGGCUACAUCUCUUCAAGAAGAAGCAGACCAAAGCCAUGGCGUUCUCUCAUGGUCUCUCCACCUUUCUCCUGUCCAUUAAAGGCGUGCCUCACCUCCUGGUUAAGAUGAAACCUCUCAAGAAGAGAGUUUUCCCUUUGCUCAUGGAGUUGGCGACUUGGAAACAUGAAGAAAGGAGUGGUCUUUACAGUUUGAGAUACAAGAAGGUGGUCAUAAAGACAAGGAGGAGCUGUUAGGUGGCGAGCCUACAUUUCCAUUCCAUCAAAAUGUCAUGACCUGGUACCUAGGAGGUUCAAGGAAUCAGCACAGAUUCCUUGGUUGUAAGCCAAUCCUUUUCCCUUCUUGAUGUGAGCUUGUAUUAUUGUUUGGUGGUAGUUGAGUGUUUUUAUUGGAUCCUUGGGUUGAUUGAAUGUUUUGCUAGAUGGUAUUGUCUAGUUACUGUCCCAGGAUGCUUUAUGAGACUUGUUUGGUGUUCUUGAUGAUAUAUGCCAUGCCGUGAGUCUUGAAUGUGUUGCUAGGAUGCUAGAUGGUAUUGUCUCAUCCGCUGGUUGCAUUCAUGAUGUCUAAAACUGUUGUUAAGGUGUUUUGCAUUAUCAUUUUGUUGCUGCCUUAAGAUUGAAACAUCUAGAUUAAUGUCUAAGAUGGUGGUUAAGGUGGUUAACUAUUAUUGCCUAAAUACUAUGGGUUUAAUCAUUGAUCAUACAUAAGUAUUUAGAGAAUGUGCUUGCAUAGAUUAGGACUUGAUAUUAUCAUGAUUCUGUCUGUUGCAUUGACUUGCGUAUUUCCAUAGCUCAAAUCGCCAUGAAUAUGUUGUAGGAAUGAGUAGAAUGUCUCAACUGAUUACAUCAUGAUUGAUAAGCUGUUUUGCAUAUAUAAGCAUGUCUCAUACUGUCUAAGUUCAAUCCUAUUAUUGUCUGAUCUCUUUGUGCAUUCAUAAAUAGAAACUGAUUAAGGUUAUUGCAUAUUGUCAUCUUGCUGCUGCCUUAGGUUGAUACACUUAGAUUCAAGUCUAAAAUGUAGUUAAGGCAGAAGUUAAUGCCUAAGUAGCUCGUCUUGAAUCUGAUUUGAUCUUGCUUGUACUUAGAGAGAUUGCUUGCAACGAUGUGAACUUGAUAAUCCUUGUUUCAAUCUGUUGCAUAGCUUGUUACAUUGGAGAUCAAACUUGAUAUUGGUCAAGGAUUGAUCCCAAUGCUUGUGUCUUAUCUUUGCUGGAGUUUGAGUGAUGUUUCAGGUCCACAUGAUGUGCUCUUGGUUCAUCAUCAAUCUUAGUAAAAGAGGAAGACUUUACCCAUUGGGAAUGGUCGCUGGGGUGUAUGUGGAUACAUAAGGCGAAUGGUCAUCACCUAAGUCUGGAGGAGACUGGUGACCAGAAGGCAUUGGAGAUAAAGGGAAGGGUUGAUCAGUGGUUGAAGCGUAAUCCAUGAGAUGUUGCGCUCCUGAUCUUAAGGCUCAUUGAGGCUCACUUCAAGCUUGGACCCAUACUCAAUCCAAGCUUGAGGAGCAAAGUGAGCCACCUGAUGAUCCUGUUGCUCAAUGACCUGUAUUACUCAAGGUCAUUACAAGCUAAUCAUGGAGUGAUUCAGCCGAAGUAGAGGGAAGAAGAAGGUCACUCAAUAAGGCGUGUGAGGUGCUUGGAGAGUUGGCUGAGGUAUCUCCUCAAUGGAAUGAUGAUGUGGUGGAGGUUCAAGCAUCAAGUCCAAAGGAGAUGGAGGUGCUUUCCACAAGAUUUAUCAUGGAGCUAUCAUGCGCUCACCAUCAAGCUUAGACCUUCCCUAUACUUGGUCUCAAGCCUGAAGAGGAGUGUCGAUGAGCUUGCAUGAUAAGAGAAGGAGCUGUUAAGCUCAGCAAGUGAGGGAUUCAAGUGGUGUGUGAAGAGCAGCCACUCCUCACCAUUUAUACAAGGGAGUAAACCUGAUCUUUAUCUCUUUCUAUACAAUCAUGAUAGGUUUAUCUCUUGAAAUUGUCUUGCAUCAAUUAGGUGCUGUCUAAGUUAUUGCAUUCAUGCAUUGAACUGUCGAAUUGAUCAUGCAUUGUUACCCUUGUCUAGAUUGUGCUUGUCCUUGAUCUUUUGUUUGCCUAUUUCAGAAUUAAUAUUUUGUUGAGGCAUUGGUGAUCAAACAAGAUGUGUGAUCUUGCUUUGGUCCCAAUAGGAUGAUUUAAUUUUGCAUUGAGUUGUGGUGGUUUAGGUACACAAGCAGUGAUACAAGUGACUCACCAACAACCAAGAGUGUAAAGACAAAGGUCUUUUGCCAUUGCAUAUCAUCACUAGGACAUGUCAGUCCCCAAUCUACAGGAAGUGUAGUGUGAUUGAUUAUGCAAUGAGAGAUGGCUAUUGCAUAAUACCAUUAGGACAUGUCUAGUCCUUAGUCUACAGGAAGUGUAGCAUGGGACAUUAUGCAAUAAGAAGUGUGACUUGUGAGGCUCUCUAUGGUGAUUCAAACACCCUAGUUCCUGGUAUAAGGAAGAGAGCAGCUCACAAGACCGAGACCAUCACCACAGCUGUUGAGACCGGUGGUCUAAGGCCAUGAAAGUGCUUACACCCACACAAGCUUAGUUCCAAAUCAGAGUCUCGGAAACUAAGCUUGAGGGGGGAAUGUUAAAUAAGCAAGGUUCAUGGCCUGAUAGGUCUUUGCAAAGGCUUCUAAGAAGAACCAUCAACCGGGCCAAGUCAGUGGCGUGUCUAGGUACUUGUGAUCUUGAUAAGCAACCUUUAGGAGAUGGAUGUGAUACCUACAGAGACUACUUGAGGGAGGAUCAAGUGGAGAGUCAAGCUGUAUCAGUCCCUAAGAUGAGCCGGUACAAGGGAAUGUGUACAAGUGGAGGAUGCGUAUGCUCAUAGAAAGCUCCUCACCAAAACAAAAAGGAAGUGUCCCUUAGUCUCUUUCAGUUCAAUUCAUUCUUCUAUUAAGGGCUUAAGCUUGAAAAAGUUACUAGAAAUGAAUUGAUUGAACUGUGAUUAUACUGAAAAAGAUUGAUUGAAUUGUGUGCAUCAAUUGUGAUGCAGGAUAUUCAAAUUCUUGGUUCUUGAUAAGUACUGAUGCACCUUUGGAAUGUGUAUCAGGUACCUUUGCUUGGCGCCUUAUUAAACAGUUCCGGGUCAUCUCUUAGCUUCUCUAAAGAGGCUGUGAAGUCUGUGGAGAGGGGGAGAUUCCAAACCUGGUCUAUGAAGAGGGCAAGCCGUGUGUGAAGUGUUGAGCAGCCUCACUGGUGUUUUGAAGAUGAUCUGGUCAUGUCCUAGCUUCUCUAGGAUGGCUGUGAAGUCAGUUGAGAGGGGGAGGCUUCAAACCGGUUCCAUGAAAAGAUGAAGCUGAGUUGUUAAGUGCGCAAAGUCUUGAUGAGUUGCUGCACCAUCUUAGGCCGUGAUCCAGAACUUCUUGUGUCCAACCACACUGGUUCUAAGGCACAAGAGUUCAUUGGCCAAUCCCUAGGCCCUUAAGAGCUCUACUCUUUUUCCCUUGCAAAGUUUUGUCCCACAGGGUUUUCUUUGCAAGGUUUUUAAUGAGGGAGACUCUUCAGGGUUCCAAGCUUGGCUCAGGAUCUCCUAGAGUCAAGCUUGAGGGGGAGUGUUGAGCUGAAGAGAAGAUAGAAGCUUGUGCAAAGAUAGGGCAAGCUUCAGGAGAUGUUCAGAAGAGUUCAACCAAGCUUCAGAAGUACCCUGAAGUGUAUAUCUUGUGAAGUUAAGUCCAAGAAGGGCUUAGACUGAUCUGUAGAAGACAUUAGAGGAGUUUGGGAGGAAAUGGUCGAUGGUGCAAAGUUAGGGUCGGCUGUACGGACGGCCGUACGGACUGUACGGACCGGUACGGAUGAGAUCGACCCGAAACAUCUUUUCUCAACCAUCUGAAGACAAUUGGUGCUUGUGCAAAAAUAGGGCACAAGGGUACGGUCUGAGAAGUAUGUGCAAGGUCCGGGUUGAGUAAUGGUAUCAAAAGAGCAUCAAGAAGAUGCUGUGUGCAAUGGGAAUCUAAGGGAGCUGGCACACGGUUCUGAUUGGCUUAUGAUAGUCCAAGACAGGCUGGAUGUUGCUGGAAAGAAAGAGACAAAGGCUGGCUAUGUAUCUGGACAAAGAUAUGGACAGAUACAUAAGGCAGUGUGGAGUAUUUCUAGCCAAGCAUUCCCACAUCCAAUCAGGAGCAUACAACCAGCUACAAACACCCCAAGACCUGAUCCAGAACGUCCAUUUCAAACCAGGCUACCUCCACUGUCCAUUUCUUAUCCUUAACUUAGGGUUUUAUGAGUUUGCAACCUGUUUUCUAUUUAAAGACCCUUUAUGGGCGAAUUGUAAACUCUCUAAGAGAGUAAGGGGGAUUUCCCCUUCUCCUUCAUAGUCUUUGGUUACUUUGAAUCUCCCAAUCUUCAUUCUCUUGAUUACUCUAUUCUGGUUACUUAA
This is a long non-coding RNA of Brassica rapa (field mustard), 5499 nucleotides long. RefSeq lists it as uncharacterized. Lineage: Eukaryota; Viridiplantae; Streptophyta; Magnoliopsida; Brassicales; Brassicaceae. The record is from RefSeq and is a predicted model, not a curated record.